Molecule: ribosomal RNA, 404 nt
Filed under: uncultured prokaryote
Description: bacterial SSU rRNA
Rfam family: Bacterial small subunit ribosomal RNA
Source: RNAcentral
UGAGGAAUUUUCUGCAAUGGGCGAUAGCCUGACAGAGCAAUACCGCGUGAGGGAUGAAGGCCUACGGGUUGUAAACCUCUUUUCUCAAGGAGGAAGACCUGACGUUACUUGAGGAAUAAGCAUCGGCUAACCCUGUGCCAGCAGCCGUGGUAAUACAGGGGAUGCAAGUGUUAUUCGGAAUUAUUGGGUGUAAAGCGUCUGCAGGUUGAUAUUUAAGUCUUUUGUUAAAUCUUCGGGCUCAACCCGGAAUCUGCAAAGGAAACUAUUUAUCUUGAGUAUGGUAGAGGUAACGGGAAUUUCCAGUGGAGCGGUGAAAUGCGUAGAUAUUGGAAAGAACACCAACAGCGAAGGCACGUUACUGGGCCAUUACUGACACUCAGAGACGAAAGCUAGGGGAACAAACA